AGAGUUUGAUCAUGGCUCAGAACGAACGCUGGCGGCGUGCCUAACACAUGCAAGUCGAACGUGAUUAGAGAGCUUGCUCUCUAUGAAAGUGGCGCACGGGUGAGUAACGCGUAGAUAAUCUGCCUGAUGAUCGGGGAUAACACUUCGAAAGGGGUGCUAAUACCGGAUAAGCCCACGGUGUCUUCGGACGUUGCGGGAAAAGGGGGGGACCUUCGGGCCUUCUGUCAUCAGAUGAGUCUGCGUACCAUUAGCUAGUUGGUAGGGUAAAGGCCUACCAAGGCGACGAUGGUUAGCUGGUCUGAGAGGAUGAUCAGCCACACUGGAACUGAGACACGGUCCAGACUCCUACGGGAGGCAGCAGUGGGGAAUUUUGCGCAAUGGGGGAAACCCUGACGCAGCAACGCCGCGUGAGUGAUGAAGGCUCUUGGGUCGUAAAGCUCUGACAGAGGGAAAGAAGUGUAUUGUGGCUAAUAUCCACGAUACUUGACGGUACCCUCAAAGGAAGCACCGGCUAACUCCGUGCCAGCAGCCGCGGUAAUCGGGGGGUGCAAGCGUUGUUCGGAUUUAUUGGGCGUAAAGCGCGUGUAGGCGGUUUGUUAAGUCUGUUGUGAAAGCCCUGGGCUCAACCCGGGAAGUGCACUGGAUACUGGCAAACUUGAAUACGGGAGAGGAGAGUGGAAUUCCUGGUGUAGGAGUGAAAUCCGUAGAUAUCAGGAGGAACACCGGUGGCGAAGGCGGCUCUCUGGACCGAUAUUGACGCUGAGACGCGAAAGCGUGGGUAGCAAACAGAUUAGAUACCCNNGUAGUCC
RNAcentral lists this ribosomal RNA (809 nucleotides) under uncultured bacterium. RNAcentral's name for it is "bacterial SSU rRNA". It matches the Rfam family "Bacterial small subunit ribosomal RNA", at positions 8 to 796 of the family's 1533-position model. The record is from RNAcentral.